RNAcentral lists this small RNA (589 nucleotides) under Pongo abelii (Sumatran orangutan). Its description in RNAcentral is "retained intron". Lineage: Eukaryota; Metazoa; Chordata; Mammalia; Primates; Hominidae. The record is from RNAcentral.
UUCUUUGCACUUAAGGUGAAUAUCAUGUCUGUCUUACAUUACUCUGUUUUGUCUGUGUUUUAAUCAUCUUUUGGUGAGUGCUCCGCAUUUGGAUACUUAAGGACCAUUAGGGUGGUGAUAGUAAGAUGGAACAAAAGCUUGGAGUGCUGCUAAAGAAGUUGGAAUGGUAGAGUGAGUCCUGUCAUCUUCCUCAUGGCCUCACCUCUGCCGUCUUCCUGCACUCACCCUAUUCCCUUUUGUAGCUAAACCAUUUCCCAGGCUCAUUCCAGAUUGGGAGGAAGGACCGGCUAUGGCGGAACCUGUCACGCAUGCAGAGCCGCUUUGGCAAGAAGGAGUUCAGUUUCUUCCCCCAGUCCUUUAUCCUGCCCCAGGACGCCAAGCUCCUGCGCAAAGCGUGGGAGAGCAGCAGCCGCCAAAAGUGGAUUGUGAAGCCACCAGCAUCAGCUCGAGGCAUUGGCAUCCAGGUUAUUCACAAGUGGAGUCAGCUCCCCAAGCGAAGGCCCCUCCUGGUACAGAGGUAUCUACACAAACCCUACCUCAUCAGCGGCAGCAAAUUUGAUCUGCGGAUCUAUGUUUACGUCACUUCCUA